AACGAGAGGCGCUGGGAAGCCGGGCCGGAGCGCGUCUCGGGGCGCGCGGAAACGCCCAGCAGAGCCGGGGAGGCCGCGGCGACGGCGCAGCCCGGAGCCUCCGGGAGCGCGGGCGCCGCUCACUCCCGGCCGGCCCGGGAGGGCCCGCGGCUCCCCGCAGCGGUAGUUGCAGUUUCACAAAGAAACGGAGCGUUUU
Vulpes vulpes (red fox) is the source of this 196-nucleotide unclassified non-coding RNA. NCBI's taxonomy places the organism in Eukaryota, Metazoa, Chordata, Mammalia, Carnivora, Canidae. The record is from Ensembl.